Dipodomys ordii (Ord's kangaroo rat) is the source of this 70-nucleotide non-coding RNA. NCBI's taxonomy places the organism in Eukaryota, Metazoa, Chordata, Mammalia, Rodentia, Heteromyidae. The record is from Rfam.
UGGGAUGUAGCUCAGUGGCAAAGCGCUUGCCUAGCAAGAGCAACGUCCUGGGUUCGAUCCCCAGUACCAA